Molecule: ribosomal RNA, 379 nt
Filed under: uncultured bacterium
Lineage: Bacteria
Description: bacterial SSU rRNA
Rfam family: Bacterial small subunit ribosomal RNA
Source: RNAcentral
AACGAACGCUGGCGGCGUGCCUGAGACAUGCAAGUCGUGGGAGAAAGUCGGAGCAAUCCGGCUAGUAAACCGGCGCACGGGUGAGUAACACGUGGACAACCUGCCUUGGAGUUCGGGAUAACCCGUCGAAAGACGGACUAAUACCGGAUAUGACCACGGGGAGUUCGCUCUCUGAGGUAAAAGAUGGCCUCUGCUCCUGCAAGCUAUCUCUUCGAGAGGGGCCCNCGUCCUACAGCUAGUUGGUGAGGUAACGGCUCACCAAGGCUAAGACGGGUAGCUGGUCUGAGAGGAUGGUCAGCCACACUGGGACUGAGACACGGCCCAGAGUCCUACGGGAUGCAGCAGUCAGGAAUAUUGCGCAAUGGAGGAAACUCUGACG